This 253-nucleotide ribosomal RNA is filed under the name uncultured bacterium. Its description in RNAcentral is "partial 16S ribosomal RNA". It matches the Rfam family "Bacterial small subunit ribosomal RNA", at positions 524 to 776 of the family's 1533-position model. The record is from RNAcentral.
UACGUAGGGUGCAAGCAUUAAUCGGAUUUAUUGGGCGUAAAGGGCGCGUAGGCGGGGAAGGAAGUCUGAUGUGAAAUUCCGAAGCUCAACUUCGGAGCAGCAUAAGAAACUCCAUUUCUUGAGGAUAGGCGGAGGAAGCGGAAUUCCACAAGUAGCGGUGAAAUGCGUAGAUAUGUGGAAGAACACCGGUGGCGAAAGCGGCUUCCUAGCUUAGACCUGACGCUGAGGCGCGAAAGCCAGGGGAGCGAACAGG